CGCAGGCCGCGCCGCCCAUAUCGCCCUUCAUGUCUUCCAUGCUGCCUGCCGGCUUGAUGGAAAUGCCGCCGGUGUCGAAGCACACGCCCUUGCCGACAAAGGCAAUCGGCGCCUCGCCGGGCUUNNNNNNNNNNNNUGCGGCCGUCAUGCUCGGAGCCUUGCGAAACGCCAAGCAGCGCGCCCAUGCCGAGUUUCGUCAUCGCCCGGACAUCGAGAACAUCGACCUUGACGCCGAGCUUGCG
Molecule: unclassified non-coding RNA, 242 nt
Filed under: Hevea brasiliensis (rubber tree)
Lineage: Eukaryota; Viridiplantae; Streptophyta; Magnoliopsida; Malpighiales; Euphorbiaceae
Source: RNAcentral